AUAUAUAUAUAUAUAUGUUUUUCUCUUUUUUAUGCACCUUAUGCCAUGUAAAUCUGGAUUUUUAAAGCAAGUAGCUUUUUUUACUUUAUGCUGUCAUAGGUAAGGAUUGUACAAUUAGUAAUUAUUGUCUUUUUAGUACCUCCUGCAUAAUACAUACAUGUUGUAUAAUAAAAGUUUUCCUUUUUUAAUCAAAACAUUAGUUGUGCAGUUUUGGAACAACAUUAGUUGUGCAAUUAUGUAUAUAUAUAUAUAUUAAAGUUGUCUAUUAAAGUGUU
Molecule: long non-coding RNA, 275 nt
Organism: Xiphophorus couchianus (Monterrey platyfish)
Lineage: Eukaryota; Metazoa; Chordata; Actinopteri; Cyprinodontiformes; Poeciliidae
Exons: 2
Source: RefSeq, a predicted model, not a curated record